UAAGGAGGAGUAUGAGGGGAGUACGAGGAGUUUUGAUCUCUUAAGUAUAGGUUCGAUUCCUAUUUCUUUAA
Molecule: transfer RNA, 71 nt
Filed under: Pyxicephalus adspersus
Lineage: Eukaryota; Metazoa; Chordata; Amphibia; Anura; Pyxicephalidae
Description: tRNA-Gln
Rfam family: tRNA
About the family: Transfer RNA (tRNA) molecules are approximately 80 nucleotides in length. Their secondary structure includes four short double-helical elements and three loops (D, anti-codon, and T loops).
Source: RNAcentral